Molecule: long non-coding RNA, 2578 nt
Organism: Naja naja (Indian cobra)
Lineage: Eukaryota; Metazoa; Chordata; Lepidosauria; Squamata; Elapidae
Source: Ensembl
UGCUAAUUCUGCCAGACAGAUCUUGCUUGAAAAUGUAAAAUGGUCAUAAAGAACUUAUCUCUUCCUCAGGCUACAUCUGAUUUGAAGGACACCAUUCUAGCUCACCUUCACUAUGCUAUUUGCUCUGUCGUGGACAUCCUGGACAAAGUCUUAGGACUGUCUGCUGAAAAUAAUGAGCAGUCCAAGAACAGCCUGAAGAUCAAGACAGAGAAUGCAAAGAGCAGUCAAGCAAACUGGGUGGCUAAAACCUGUGCAGCUGACAAGCUGGAGAAGGUUGUGGAUUGGAAAACGGAGCCCAAUUCAGUCCACAAGUCUCCAGCGGGAUGUGUAUCAGAAAAGAUGACUCCUUCCAGUGUCCUUGCAAACAUCAGAUCUUUAGUUGCUGCUGUUUCCCAGAUUGCUUUCAGACAGACAUCCCAAGCCAUCCAGGUUACCAAGGACACAGGACUGAAACUGGCUAUGUGGAUCUCGUAUUUGUUCAGCUUCCCAAGGGUUUUGCUGAAAGAAGAGGAAACAAUGGGGAUGAGUUCUCCAGAAUCUUGCCAAGAAGAUGAUGGCGUCCAGUUUGUUACUCCUGAGAGCAAGAAGCUGCAAGAAAGACGGUCUAGUCGGGGACAUUAUCCUCUUCCCUUCCUCAAUCUCGAUGAGCCCCUCACCCCUCCUCAAAGCCCACCCUUGGAAACUGAAUCUGCUGUGGCCAAGAAAUCUGCUUUUUCCAGCAGCAGGAGAUGGAGUGAAGGGUUGUUCCGGACCAGUCUGGAAACCACCUAUAUGAGGGCGCACUUCGCAAGACUGUAUAGCUCUGCUGUCAAGAAAGACUAAGCCAGUGAGUGGGUUUGCUCAUUAUGCUAAACUAGGAUUUGUUAAGUCUGAAUUGCUAUCCCAAGUGUGAUUUUCCAAAAGGCGACUGGAUUUCCUUUGUUUUUUCUCCCUUUGAAAACAUUUAGCUUCUCAUCCAAGAAAUGUCAGGUUUCCAAGGGAUGAAAUCUAUUUAAAAAGAAAAGAAUGAAGUCCGUCUUCCAAACAAUCUCUUUUAUUUAGGAAAGCAUCAAAUUGGCCAAGUCUGUUGUAAUUCCAGAUCUGACACAACCCAGAAUUACACCACAUAAUAUUGGAAAUUAGAAACAGCCCCCAAGAGUCACAUUCCCUAAUAGAAGUAAAUCAACAUUGCUUGGUGUCAUCAAUCUUCACCUCCAGGUCUCAGCAAGGUCAGUUUCUGUUCCCAUGGGAAGGAAACAUCACCUAACCUAAACAAACUUCACUCCACUCCUCCCACCUUAGGAAUGUAGCUUUUUCUCUGGUAAUAUUACACUACUAACUAGAGCAUACAAAACAUUUGCUAGACCAAUACUUGAAUACAGCUCAUCAGUCUGGAACCCACAUUACAUAUCUGAUAUUAACACAGUUGAGAAAGUCCAGAAAUAUUUCACAAGAAUAGUUCUCCACUCCUCUACUCAUUGCAGAAAACCUUAUGCCACCAGACUUGAAAUUCUAGACCUAGAAAACCUAGAAUUACGCUGCCUUCGUUCCGAUCUAAGUAUAGUAUAUAAAAUCAUACAUUGCAAUGUCCUACCUGUCAAUGAAUACUUCAGUUUCAACCAUAACAAUACAAGAGCACACAAUAGAUACAAACUCAAGGUUAAUUGCACCAAACUUGAUUGCAGAAAAUAUGACUUCAGCAACAGAGUAGUCAAUGUCUGGAAUACUCUACCUGACUCUGUGGUUUCUUCCCCAAACCCCAAAAACUUUAACCUUAGACUGUCUACUAUUGACCUCACCCCUUUCCUAAGAUGUCUGUAGGGGGCGUGCAUAAGCGCACCAACACGCCUACUGUCCCUGUCCUAUUGUUUCUUUUAUUUUCUUAUAUGUAUCCAUUUCAUGUAUUCAUAACUAUGUUUAUACUUAUACCUAUUAUCUUGUAAGCAAUUGACAAAUCAAAUCAAAUAAAUAAAAAUAAAUAAAAUAAGCCCCCCCUCCAACCAGCAAAAAGAAAGAAAGAAAAGGAAUAUAUAAUAGGGCUAAAUAAAAUGGCUACACUUAUGUCAAUUUUGGGCUUGACAAGAAGCUUCUUCCCUUCUUGGAUGAGAAGCGAAACAUUUCCAAAGGAAACAAACCCAAGAAAGUCCACUUGCCUUUUGGAAAAGCAUAUCUGAGACAACCAUGACCUGGAUGAUUGAGAAUCUCUGUAGACACUUAUGAGUUGCUAUAUAUGUCACUGUUAGAUGACUUCACACAACAGGUUAAACACACAGUUUAGCAACUCCAAAGUUGCUGAAAUCUUAUAUCACACUUAGCUAUGGCAAAGAUUGCAAAAUCACAAUUGAUACACUAAGCCAUGAAUCAUGGCUUGACAAAACUCUAGGGCUGGAUUCACUGCAAUUCACAAAACCACAUUCUGGCUUUGGGCUAUGAGAAUGAAGCAACUGACAACCCAGCUCUUGUGCUUAAUUUUACUGUUUAUGUUAACUUAGCUGAAAUCUCCCUUGUGACCUUCGUGACCCAGUAAUUACAUCUGCUGUUGUAAUGAUAGCUUUAUUAGCACAGCUUUAACAAUUCUCCAAUAAAAUGACCAUCUUUU